This 465-nucleotide ribosomal RNA is filed under the name uncultured bacterium. RNAcentral's name for it is "partial 16S ribosomal RNA". It matches the Rfam family "Bacterial small subunit ribosomal RNA", at positions 28 to 507 of the family's 1533-position model. The record is from RNAcentral.
GAUGAACGCUGGCGGCGUGCCUAAUACAUGCAAGUCGAACGGAAGGGCCAGGCUUUCAGGGUUCUGGAGUUGGCAACGGGCGAGUAACUCGCACGUGAUUUGCCCUGCUAUUCGGCUUAAGUAUCGUCGACUGGGCGGAACUCAGGCCGGGAAAUAUUUUGAGCCUGAUGGUUGGAAAGUUUUUUCGGGUUUGGAUGAGAUCGCGGCCUGGCAGCUUGCUGGUGGGGUGAUGGCCUACCAAGGCGGCGACGGGUAGUCGGCCUGCGUGGGUGAACGGCCACAUUGGGACUGAGAUGCGGCCCAGACUCCUACGGGAGGCAGAAGUGGGGAAUAUUGCACGAUGGGCGCAAGCCUGAUGCAGCGACGCCGCGUGGGGGAAGACGGCCUUCGGGUUGUAAACUCCUUUCGCUAGGGACGAAGCUUUUUGUGACGGUACCUAGAUAAGAAGCACCGGCUAACUACGUG